AUGGGUGCGCUGGGGCGCGCAGGAGCCCUGCUGUGGUCCCUUCUCCCCGCACCUCCUUUGUCCUCUGCCCCUCUCCAUCGCGGACCCUUCCCCGGGGACAAACGGCGAGCAUCUCCGUGUCACCGCGGUGCUGCACGUCCCCGUGCUCGGGGCCCACUUCCCAGCCCCUCUGCCCCCACCCCAGCUCAACCACCCCUGGAAAGACCCCAGCCCCUCGCCCCCAGCCCUUGCACCUACCUCCGCCAGCCGGGACCCCGAAGCCCGGGGCGGGAACCGGAGUCCGUGUGGGGCCUGGGGCGCUGGCGGUGGGGCAAUGCUGCCGCCUCGCCCGUGGUUGCGCCGCCGCCGGGGGCAGGAAGCGGCGAGCGAAGGAGCUGCACCGCGCGGCGAGGAGGGGCCGACGUCACGGAAAGGCGGCGUGGGGCUGCGGGUGGCACCGGCGCCGGCGGGGGCACUUUGGGGACGUCUCCUUGCCCUCCUCCCCCUCUGCCCCGAGCACCUUCGGCUGCUGAUUUCAUGCUGCAAAGCCUUGAGGGGUCACCAGAGGAGCGCGGGUUGUGCCCGGUGAUGCCCGUGCUGAUGGGGGCAAGCUGCAGCCGGGGGGGCUGGGGCUGCAGCCACCCCCUUGGCCGCCCGCCCCGCGGCACGUCUGCACCCACAAAAAGCUCUUUAUUUGUCCCAUCUGCGCCCUGGUUCCCCCCCGCGGGGCCCAGCCCUGCAGCUGCACAGAGCUUUGGGGCUGGAGCAGGUUUGCAGCCCUGGCGCCGGGGCUUUGCGCGGAGCCCACGGCGCGUCCCCAGCCCACGGCCGCGGUGGGCCGGCGCGAUGCCCCCCGGCGCUCUCCACCUUAAGAAACCCGUCCCUCCUCUCUACCUUCACACCCUCCGCUCCGUUUCCCCUCUGGGCAGUUGGGUUACAAUAUUUUUAUCGGCCAGGCAGGUUUCCUGUUUGCAAUCCUCGCGCUCACGGGUGCGGACGGAGCGACCGCGGCGGUGGGAGCGAAGGCUCGCUCGGCCCCGGGACCGAUCCUGCCGGCUCCCGGCCACUCCUCGAGGGGCCGAGGCGCAGAAACGCCGAGCGAUGUGA
Molecule: long non-coding RNA, 1086 nt
Filed under: Anser brachyrhynchus (Pink-footed goose)
Lineage: Eukaryota; Metazoa; Chordata; Aves; Anseriformes; Anatidae
Description: lncRNA (ENSABRG00000020513.1)
Source: RNAcentral